GAUCCUGGCUCAGAAUCAACGCUGGCGGCGUGCCUAACACAUGCAAGUCGCACGAGAAAGCGGGCUUCGGCCUGCAAGUAAAGUGGCGCACGGGUGAGUAACACGUGAAUGAUCUACCUCCGAGUGGGGAAUAACCUAGAGGAAUCUGGGCUAAUACCGCAUAACACUUACGAGUCAAAGCAGCAAUGCGCUUGGAGAGGAGUUCGCGGCAGAUUAGUUAGUUGGCAGGGUAAUGGCCUACCAAGACGAUGAUCUGUAUCCGGCCUGAGAGGGCGCACGGACACACUGGAACUGAAACACGGUCCAGACUCCUACGGGAGGCAGCAGUGGGGAAUUUUGCGCAAUGGGGGAAACCCUGACGCAGCAACGCCGCGUGGAGGAUGAAAUCCCUUGGGAUGUAAACUCCUUUCGAUCGGGACGAUUAUGACGGUACCGGAAGAAGAAGCCCCGGCUAACUUCGUGCCAGCAGCCGCGGUAAUACGAGGGGGGCAAGCGUUGUUCGGAAUUAUUGGGCGUAAAGGGCGCGUAGGCGGUUUGACAAGUCUGAUGUGAAAUCUCUGGGCUCAACCCAGAGUCUGCAUUAGAAACUGUCGGGCUUGAGUAUGGGAGAGGUGAGUGGAAUUUCCGGUGUAGCGGUGAAAUGCGUAGAUAUCGGAAGGAACACCUGUGGCGAAAGCGGCUCACUGGACC
This 690-nucleotide ribosomal RNA is filed under the name uncultured Acidobacteriota bacterium. RNAcentral's name for it is "bacterial SSU rRNA". It matches the Rfam family "Bacterial small subunit ribosomal RNA", at positions 15 to 735 of the family's 1533-position model. Lineage: Bacteria; Pseudomonadati; Acidobacteriota. The record is from RNAcentral.